GCAUGCAGGUGGUUUGUUAAGUCAGAUGUGAAAGCCCGGGGCUCAACCUCGGAACUGCAUUUGAAACUGGCAAACUAGAGUACUGUAGAGGGGGGUAGAAUUUCAGGUGUAGCGGUGAAAUGCGUAGAGAUCUGAAGGAAUACCAGUGGCGAAGGCGGCCCCCUGGACAGAUACUGACACUCAGAUGCGAAAGCGUGGGGAGCAAACAGGAUUAGAUACCCUGGUAGUCCACGCCGUAAACGAUGUCUACUUGGAGGUUGUGGCCUUGAGCCGUGGCUUUCGGAGCUAACGCGUUAAGUAGACCGCCUGGGGAGUACGGUCGCAAGAUUAAAACUCAAAUGAAUUGACGGGGGCCCGCACAAGCGGUGGAGCAUGUGGUUUAAUUCGAUGCAACGCGAAGAACCUUACCUACUCUUGACAUCCAGAGAACUUNNCAGAGAUGNNUUGGUGCCUUCGGGAACUCUGAGACAGGUGCUGCAUGGCUGUCGUCAGCUCGUGUUGUGAAAUGUUGGGUUAAGUCCCGCAACGAGCGCAACCCUUAUCCUUGUUUGCCAGCGAGUAAUGUCGGGAACUCCAGGGAGACUGCCGGUGAUAAACCGGAGGAAGGUGGGGACGACGUCAAGUCAUCAUGGCCCUUACGAGUAGGGCUACACACGUGCUACAAUGGCGCAUACAGAGGGCRGCCAACUCGCGAGAGUGAGCGAAUCCCAAAAAGUGCGUCGUAGUCCGGAUUGGAGUCUGCAACUCGACUCCAUGAAGUCGGAAUCGCUAGUAAUCGUAGAUCAGAAUGCUACGGUGAAUACGUUCCCGGGCCUUGUACACACCGCCCGUCACACCAUGGGAGUGGGCUGCAAAAGAAGUGGGUAGUUUAACCUUCGGGAGGACGCUCACCACU
Molecule: ribosomal RNA, 895 nt
Filed under: bacterium
Lineage: Bacteria
Description: bacterial SSU rRNA
Rfam family: Bacterial small subunit ribosomal RNA
Source: RNAcentral